GUGAGUAACACGUGAGUAACCUGCCCUUGACUCUGGGAUAACCUCCGGAAACGGAAGCUAAUACCGGAUAUGACGCACGGAGGCAUCUCCUGUGCGUGGAAAGAACUUCGGUCAAGGAUGGACUCGCGGCCUAUCAGGUAGUUGGUGAGGUAACGGCCCACCAAGCCUACGACGGGUAGCCGGCCUGAGAGGGUGACCGGCCACACUGGGACUGAGACACGGCCCAGACUCCUACGGGAGGCAGCAGUGGGGAAUAUUGCACAAUGGGCGCAAGCCUGAUGCAGCAACGCCGCGUGAGGGACGACGGCCUUCGGGUUGUAAACCUCUUUUAGUAGGGAAGAAGCGAAAGUGACGGUACCUGCAGAAAAAGCACCGGCUAACUACGUGCCAGCAGCCGCGGUAAUACGUAGGGUGCGAGCGUUGUCCGGAAUUAUUGGGCGUAAAGAGCUCGUAGGCGGUCUGUCGCGUCUGCUGUGAAAACCCGAGGCUCAACCUCGGGCCUGCAGUGGGUACGGGCAGACUAGAGUGCGGUAGGGGAGAAUGGAAUUCCUGGUGUAGCGGUGGAAUGCGCAGAUAUCAGGAGGAACACCGAUGGCGAAGGCAGUUCUCUGGGCCGUAACUGACGCUGAGGAGCGAAAGCGUGGGGAGCGAACAGGAUUAGAUACCCUGGUAGUCCACGCCGUAAACGUUGGGCGCUAGAUGUGGGGACCAUUCCACGGUUUCCGUGUCGCAGCUAACGCA
This 741-nucleotide ribosomal RNA is filed under the name Cryocola sp. Its description in RNAcentral is "bacterial SSU rRNA". It matches the Rfam family "Bacterial small subunit ribosomal RNA", at positions 106 to 859 of the family's 1533-position model. Lineage: Bacteria; Bacillati; Actinomycetota; Actinomycetes; Micrococcales; Microbacteriaceae. The record is from RNAcentral.